GCUAAAUCCCCGGCCCCAAUUCAAUAUUUAUAUUACUACAAUAUUAAUUUUUAAAACUAUGGUAAAAUAGAUAUAAAAUUUUCCAUUUGAACUAUUUUUAACUGUACAAUUCCACAGCACUAAUUAUAUUCACAAUAUUGUACACCAUCACCACUAUUUCAAAAAUCUUUUAUUAUUUCAAGCAAAAACUCUAUAAUCAUUAAACAAAAGCUCUCCAUCCUCUCUCUCCCUAGAUCAUAAUUCCUAAUCUAUUUUCUGUCUUAUGAAUGCACCUAUUCGGAAUACCUUAUAAGUGUUAUCUGUUAUCAUAGAAUAUUUGUCCUUUCACAUCUAGAUUAUUUUGCUUAGCACAAUACCGUAAAGGCUCAUCUGUAUUAUAUAUAAGAUCUUUAUUCCUUUUUGUAGCUGAAUAAUAUUCUACUGUAUGGAAUUUCAUCAGCUGAUGCACAUUUGGAUUGUUUCUACCUUUUUGCCAUUAUGAAUAUUCUUGUUAUGAAUAUUUGUGUAAUUUUUGGGGGCAGUGCUUGGGAUUGAACCCUGGACCUCGCACAUGCUAGCACCAUUUGUUGAAGAGACUUCCCUCAUUGAAUGGUCUUGUCACCCUUGUCAAAAAUAAACUUCCCAAGGAUGAGUCUGUACCUCAGUGGUAGAGUGUUUGCCUAGCACAAGUGGCCAUGGAUUCAGUGCCCAGUACUGGAAAAAUAAUGACCAUUAACAUACCUUGCGCUUGUGAGGCAGGAGGCAGAACCACUGAGGUAAAUCCCUUGCCCUGGAAUGUUUUUAAAUUUUUUUCACAAUGUAGGCAAAUGGCCAUAAAAUGGAACAAAAUAAAAUGAGGUAUGUCUGUGCUGGAUUUUAUAUUUAUUUGUGUAGUUACCUUUAUUUCUUCACAUGGCGUUGAUUUACUGUUUAGCGUCUUUUCAUUUUAACCUGAAGGACUCUAUUUAGUACUUCUUAUAGGGCAGGUUUGCUAGUGAUGAGGACCUCAACUUUUGAUUAUCUGGGAAUGUCUGAAUUUAUGCUUCAUUUUUGAAGAAUUGUUUUGCAACACAUAGAAUUCUUACUUGACAGAUUUUUUUCUUUUAUGACUUUAAAUAUGUCUUUCUAUUGCCCUAGUCUCCUUGACUGCUGAUGAGAAAUUAGCUUGUAUGUGACAAUCACUUUUCUCUUACUGCUUUCAACCAAGCCACAACUGUGUUCCUUUCCAACAAUUCAUCUGAUUCACUAUCCUCUCAGUGCAACUGGAAAAUUAUGAUGUGCUCAUCUUUCAAUCCCCCUACAGAUUAUUAUCAUCCUUGAAUGAGGAAAGAAAUGUAAAAGUGACAUACCUGAAGUCAUACUGUGAGCUAGGUCUGCUACUCAUAUGUCUGAUGGUUUAUUUCAUUAUAACACUGUGUAAAUGGUAAUUCUCUUGUUUAUAUAUUUUAUUUGUUGUCUGUGCUUUCACUGAAUGUAGACUCCAAAAGAACAGGAAUUUUUUUAUUGAUUAUAUAUAUAUAUAUAUAUUUCCUAUGUCUAGCUUUUAUCAUAGGUAUUUGUUGAAUGAAUGAAUGAUUAUAAAUUUGAUUCAAAUGAAAGAUCAGUGGGGAAAGUAGUUAAUUCAGAAUGUCCCCUGAAGGGAGCUUCUAUUUAAGAGCAUUGAGACCUCUCUAUCUUUAAGCAUCUUUUUACCAUCCUAGUGGUUUAGAUUAAGAACUCUUACAGAUAUUUUGGUCCAGGCUCUCAUCUUACAGAGAGAGAGAAUUUAGCCUCAAAGAUGGGUGAGACACCUAGGAAGGCUGUCAUGAAGCUUAAUUGGGAUUCAGAUGUACUACCCAGCAGUUGAAGGUAUUAUAGAACAUUGUCAUUGUGGAAUAUUAAGUUCUCUAAUGUCAUUUAGGAUGUAAAACUGUGAGAUUAGAGAAGCCAGAUUAUGGCACUGUUAGAGGCAAGAAUGAUAACACAGUUUUCUAUUUCC
Molecule: long non-coding RNA, 1957 nt
Filed under: Heterocephalus glaber (naked mole-rat)
Lineage: Eukaryota; Metazoa; Chordata; Mammalia; Rodentia; Bathyergidae
Description: lncRNA (ENSHGLG00000042093.1)
Source: RNAcentral